AACAACAAAGCGUGGAUCAUUUCUCUCUUCUUUUCUAUCUAUUGUAUUCAUUUCAUUAAGGAUGGCAAAGUGUGCUACCAUUUUUACAGUGCUGUUGCUUCUCUCUAUGUUUGCCUCCCUCUCCCAGGGGCGCACCACUAGAGUGGUGAUGGCAGAGGAGAUGAAACUUGGGGUGAGUAGAGUGAUCUGCCCAGCAUGCGUUUGCUGUGAACCAGCCGCCAAUUCCAACACCUGUUGUAGUUGCUGCGCAACCCCAAUUGAAUCACAGACUUCUAAUCCCUGAGGCCACCAUAUAAUCUCUUCCGUUUCUCUUUUAUUUGCUUAUAAAAUAAAUAAUGGUGUUAUUAUAACAUCACUUACAUUCUAAAUCUAUUACUGUGGAUUAUCUGAAUGUAUCUUAAAAUAAGGACGUAUAAUUUAUACUGUUCGUAUUUGUCAUGUUAUAUCAAAAACUUAGUGAAUUUA
Molecule: long non-coding RNA, 465 nt
Organism: Cryptomeria japonica (Japanese cedar)
Lineage: Eukaryota; Viridiplantae; Streptophyta; Pinopsida; Cupressales; Cupressaceae
Exons: 2
Source: RefSeq, a predicted model, not a curated record